CACUCCUGCGGGAGGCAGCAGUGGGGAAUUUUGGACAAUGGGCGAAAGCCUGAUCCAGCCAUGCCGCGUGCAGGAUGAAGGCCUUCGGGUUGUAAACUGCUUUUGUACGGAACGAAACGGCCUUUUCUAAUAAAGAGGGCUAAUGACGGUACCGUAAGAAUAAGCACCGGCUAACUACGUGCCAGCAGCCGCGGUAAUACGUAGGGUGCAAGCGUUAAUCGGAAUUACUGGGCGUAAAGCGUGCGCAGGCGGUUAUGUAAGACAGUUGUGAAAUCCCCGGGCUCAACCUGGGAACUGCAUCUGUGACUGCAUAGCUAGAGUACGGUAGAGGGGGAUGGAAUUCCGCGUGUAGCAGUGAAAUGCGUAGAUAUGCGGAGGAACACCGAUGGCGAAGGCAAUCCCCUGGACCUGUACUGACGCUCAUGCACGAAAGCGUGGGGAGCAAACAGGAUUAGAUACCCUUGUAGUCCCAUG
Molecule: ribosomal RNA, 474 nt
Filed under: uncultured organism
Description: partial 16S ribosomal RNA
Rfam family: Bacterial small subunit ribosomal RNA
Source: RNAcentral